This 74-nucleotide transfer RNA is filed under the name Bacteriophage sp. RNAcentral describes it as "tRNA-Thr". It matches the Rfam family "tRNA". From Rfam's summary of the family: Transfer RNA (tRNA) molecules are approximately 80 nucleotides in length. Their secondary structure includes four short double-helical elements and three loops (D, anti-codon, and T loops). The record is from RNAcentral.
GCCGAAUUAGUUAAAUGGUAUAACAAUGCUCCUGUAAAGCAUAUUUGAUUGUUCGAUUCAGUCAUUCGGCACCA